UGAGGCCUUUCUACUGUUUUGGACUGUAAAGCCUCUUUCUGCUCAACAUGUUUGAAAACUUUGAGGAGUUCAGUGAGACAGAGUGGCUGAAUGGACUGGUUAUACUGGGACAGAGUGGCUGAGUGGACUGGUUAUAUCAAUCUCUGAGAGUGAACAAGCAGAGAAGAUGAAUCUAAAGCAGACUGUGGAGGACUGUGGAUGCACAGGACACAGAAUGACAGGAUGCUGCUGCUGCUGCUCGUCUGCCUCCAUGCUGAUUUCUGCAAAACCCUGGGAGGGAGCCUGCCUCUUUAUUGCAAGCCGAAAGGCGUUGAUGACUGUGAGGAAACUGCAUCACAUCAGGUUCAGAUGACCAGAUGCUGCUGGGACUCAAACCUGGACUUGUUGCUCUGCAGAUGACUCACACCACUGCUGAGCCUUGAAGCCUGGUGAUAAUGGAAAUAAGGAGCCUAUGAUUGUGGCAUUAGUAUUUUUUUUAUUUUUUCAUAUAUCUUCAUUUAGUAACUUCUCACAAAGAGAGGCAAAUCAGAAACAUUUUGAACUUAAGUGACUCUUUAAUUUCCAGCAAAUGAAAUCUCUAACUGCAAAAACUUCUCCUGUAGAUGAAAAGGAAGGACUCUGUAAUCAUCAUGUGUGUGAUAAGACUUAAAGCUGGUCAUUGCAGUGCUGAGAAGUCACAUUUCAACUCCUUUUCCCCCCCUUCAGUGUUCAGAGCAGCUCUCUCCUCAGAAAGCUGGGGGUCACGGUGUGGAAAAGCCCCCAGCGAACUGGUAGAAAUGCUGUCCCCAUUACAGCAGCAGCAGGGGUCAGGCCAUGGCAGCAAGCAUCCAACCUGCCCGAAAUUGGCUGCAAAAUGACCAAU
Long non-coding RNA from Epinephelus fuscoguttatus (brown-marbled grouper), 862 nucleotides. RefSeq lists it as uncharacterized. The transcript has 3 exons. Lineage: Eukaryota; Metazoa; Chordata; Actinopteri; Perciformes; Serranidae. The record is from RefSeq and is a predicted model, not a curated record.